CCCGUUGAUGAAGAAGACCUGAUCUCGUAUAUAAUUGCGGGAUUAGAUGAAGAUUUCGAGCCCAUCAUCUCCUCCCUGGUGUCCAAAUCUGAGCAUGUAAGCCUAGGAGAGGCUUACUCACAGCUGCUCAGCUUUGAGC
Oryza barthii is the source of this 139-nucleotide non-coding RNA. The record is from Rfam. Lineage: Eukaryota; Viridiplantae; Streptophyta; Magnoliopsida; Poales; Poaceae.